RNAcentral lists this ribosomal RNA (763 nucleotides) under Acrobeloides sp. FL-SType-1. RNAcentral's name for it is "SSU rRNA". It matches the Rfam family "Eukaryotic small subunit ribosomal RNA", at positions 434 to 1202 of the family's 1831-position model. Lineage: Eukaryota; Metazoa; Nematoda; Chromadorea; Rhabditida; Cephalobidae. The record is from RNAcentral.
UCGCAAAUUACCCACUCUCAGCACGAGGAGGUAGUGACGAAAAAUAACGAGACCGUUCUCUUAUGAGGCCGGUCAUCGGAAUGGGUACAAUUUAAACCCUUUAACGAGUAUCUAUGAGAGGGCAAGUCUGGUGCCAGCAGCCGCGGUAAUUCCAGCUCUCAAAGUGCAUAGAAUUAUUGCUGCGGUUAAAAAGCUCGUAGUUGGAUCUGUGCCAUAGGACGGGGUCCGGCUUCGGUCGUGUACUCCGCUCCUAGGCUUUUUGCUGGUUUUCCCGUCGUAGCCUUCACUGGUUGCGGCGGGUGGCUGGCGAGUUUACUUUGAGAAAAUCAGAGUGCUCAAUACAGGCGUAUCGCUUGAAUGAUUGUGCAUGGAAUAAUAGAAAAGGAUUUCGGUCCUCUUUUAUUGGUUUUGUGGACUGAGAUAAUGGUUAACAGGGACAAACGGGGGCAUUCGUAUCGCUGCGUGAGAGGUGAAAUUCUUGGACCGUAGCGAGACGCCCUACUGCGAAAGCAUUUGCCAAGAAUGUCUUCAUUAAUCAAGAACGAAAGUCAGAGGUUCGAAGGCGAUCAGAUACCGCCCUAGUUCUGACCGUAAACGAUUCCAACUAGCGAUCCGCCGGUGGAUUUUUAGCCCUGGUGGGUAGCUUCCCGGAAACGAAAGUCUUCCGGUUCCGGGGGAAGUAUGGUUGCAAAGCUGAAACUUAAAGGAAUUUGACGGAAUGGGCACCACCCAGGAGUGCAGCCUGCGGCUUUAUUUUGACUAA